RNAcentral lists this ribosomal RNA (640 nucleotides) under uncultured Klebsiella sp. Its description in RNAcentral is "bacterial SSU rRNA". It matches the Rfam family "Bacterial small subunit ribosomal RNA", at positions 28 to 658 of the family's 1533-position model. The record is from RNAcentral. Lineage: Bacteria; Pseudomonadati; Pseudomonadota; Gammaproteobacteria; Enterobacterales; Enterobacteriaceae.
AUUGAACGCUGGCGGCAGGCCUAACACAUGCAAGUCGAGCGGUAGCACAGAGAGCUUGCUCUCGGGUGACGAGCGGCGGACGGGUGAGUAAUGUCUGGGAAACUGCCUGAUGGAGGGGGAUAACUACUGGAAACGGUAGCUAAUACCGCAUAAUGUCGCAAGACCAAAGUGGGGGACCUUCGGGCCUCAUGCCAUCAGAUGUGCCCAGAUGGGAUUAGCUAGUAGGUGGGGUAAUGGCUCACCUAGGCGACGAUCCCUAGCUGGUCUGAGAGGAUGACCAGCCACACUGGAACUGAGACACGGUCCAGACUCCUACGGGAGGCAGCAGUGGGGAAUAUUGCACAAUGGGCGCAAGCCUGAUGCAGCCAUGCCGCGUGUAUGAAGAAGGCCUUCGGGUUGUAAAGUACUUUCAGCGAGGAGGAAGGCAUUAAGGUUAAUAACCUUAGUGAUUGACGUUACUCGCACAAGAAGCACCGGCUAACUCCGUGCCAGCAGCCGCGGUAAUACGGAGGGUGCAAGCGUUAAUCGGAAUUACUGGGCGUAAAGCGCACGCAGGCGGUCUGUUAAUCAGAUGUGAAAAUCCCCGGGCUCAACCUGGGAAACUGCAUUUGAAACUGGCAGGCUUGAGUCUUGUAAAGAA